Molecule: ribosomal RNA, 433 nt
Filed under: uncultured bacterium
Lineage: Bacteria
Description: partial 16S ribosomal RNA
Rfam family: Bacterial small subunit ribosomal RNA
Source: RNAcentral
ACGGAAGGCAGCAGUGGGGAAUAUUGCACAAUGGGGGAAACCCUGAUGCAGCAACGCCGCGUGAGUGAAGAAGUAUUUCGGUAUGUAAAGCUCUAUCAGCAGGGAAGAUAAUGACGGUACCUGACUAAGAAGCUCCGGCUAAAUACGUGCCAGCAGCCGCGGUAAUACGUAUGGAGCAGCGUUAUCCGGAUUUACUGGGUGUAAAGGGUGUGUAGGCGGCAUGGCAAGUCAGAUGUGAAAGACCGGGGCUCAACUCCGGGGCUGCAUUUGAAACUGUCAGGCUGGAGUACAGGAGAGGCAGGCGGAAUUCCUAGUGUAGCGGUGAAAUGCGUAGAUAUUAGGAGGAACACCAGUGGCGAAGGCGGCCUGCUGGACUGUUACUGACGCUGAGGCACGAAAGCGUGGGGAGCAAACAGGAUUAGAUACCCUGGUA